Molecule: ribosomal RNA, 672 nt
Filed under: uncultured bacterium
Lineage: Bacteria
Description: bacterial SSU rRNA
Rfam family: Bacterial small subunit ribosomal RNA
Source: RNAcentral
ACAGGUCCUCGGGAUGUGACAAUGGCGCAGGUGAAUCAGCGUACAAACUGCCCUCUCAGGGGGAAGUCCUGGAUCGGUGAAAAUCCCCAUACAAUUCUAGAUGGCAUCAUAUAGAGUAAAGCCUCGGCGGAUGAAGAUGAGUGUGCGUCUGAUUAGCUAGAUGGUGAGGUAACGGCUCACAUGGCGACGAUCAGUAGGGGGCGUGAGAGCGUGAUCCCCCACACGGGUACUGAGACACGGACCCGGCUCCUACGGGAGGCAGCAGUAAGGAAUAUUGGGCAAUGGACGGAAGUCUGACCCAGCCAUGCCGCGUGCGGGAAGAAGGCCCUUUGGGUUGUAAACCGCUUUUAUUUAGGAAGAAUGGCCUUGAUUUAUCAGGGAAGAGACGGUACUAGAUGAAUAAGCACCGGCUAACUCCGUGCCAGCAGCCGCGGUAAUACGGAGGGUGCAAGCGUUAUCCGGAAUCACUGGGUUUAAAGGGUACGUAGGCGGUUCAGUAAGUCAGAUGUGAAAUGUCGGUGCUCAACUCUCGAACUUGCAUUUGAAACUGUUGAACUUUGAAUUAGGUGGAAGUGUGCGGAAUGUAUCAUGUAGCGGUGAAAUGCAUAGAUAUGAUAUAGAACACCAAUAGCGAAGGCAGCACACUACGCUUUGAUUGACGCUGAGGUACGA